This 417-nucleotide ribosomal RNA is filed under the name uncultured bacterium. RNAcentral's name for it is "bacterial SSU rRNA". It matches the Rfam family "Bacterial small subunit ribosomal RNA", at positions 328 to 760 of the family's 1533-position model. The record is from RNAcentral.
GGCCCUUACUCCUACGGGAGGCAGCAGUGGGGAAUAUUGGACAAUGGACCAAAGUCUGAUCCAGCAAUUCUGUGUGCACGAUGAAGUUUUUCGGAAUGUAAAGUGCUUUCAGUUGGGAAGAAGAAAGUGACGGUACCAACAGAAGAAGCGACGGCUAAAUACGUGCCAGCAGCCGCGGUAAUACGUAUGUCGCAAGCGUUAUCCGGAUUUAUUGGGCGUAAAGCGUGUCUAGGCGGUUUGGUAAGUCUGAUGUGAAAAUGCGGGGCUCAACUCCGUAUUGCGUUGGAAACUGCCAAACUAGAGUACUGGAGAGGUAGGCGGAACUACAAGUGUAGAGGUGAAAUUCGUAGAUAUUUGUAGGAAUGCCGAUGGGGAAGCCAGCCUACUGGACAGAUACUGACGCUAAAGCGCGAAAGC